CCACGGGUGUGCAGCAGUGGGGAAUAUUGGACAAUGGGCGAAAGCCUGAUCCAGCCAUGCCGCGUGUGUGAAGAAGGCCUUCGGGUUGUAAAGCACUUUCAGUGGGGAAGAAAGCCUUGGGGCUAAUACCCUCGAGGAAGGACAUCACCCACAGAAGAAGCACCGGCUAACUCCGUGCCAGCAGCCGCGGUAAUACGGAGGGUGCGAGCGUUAAUCGGAAUUACUGGGCGUAAAGCGCGCGUAGGCGGUCUGAUAAGCCGGUUGUGAAAGCCCCGGGCUCAACCUGGGAACGGCAUCCGGAACUGUCAGGCUAGAGUGCAGGAGAGGAAGGUAGAAUUCCCGGUGUAGCGGUGAAAUGCGUAGAGAUCGGGAGGAAUACCAGUGGCGAAGGCGGCCUUCUGGACUGACACUGACGCUGAGGUGCGAAAGCGUGGGUAGCAAACAGGAUUAGAUACCCUAGUAGUC
This 465-nucleotide ribosomal RNA is filed under the name Vreelandella stevensii. Its description in RNAcentral is "partial 16S ribosomal RNA". It matches the Rfam family "Bacterial small subunit ribosomal RNA", at positions 339 to 795 of the family's 1533-position model. The record is from RNAcentral. Lineage: Bacteria; Pseudomonadati; Pseudomonadota; Gammaproteobacteria; Oceanospirillales; Halomonadaceae.